AACGAACGCUGGCGGCAGGCCCAACACAUGCAAGUCGAACGCCGUAGCAAUACGGAGUGGCAGACGGGUGAGUAACACGUGGGAACGUACCCUUCGGUUCGGAAUAACUCAGGGAAACUUGAGCUAAUACCGGAUACGUCCGAGAGGAGAAAGAUUUAUCGCCGAGGGAUCGGCCCGCGUCUGAUUAGCUUGUUGGUGAGGUAACGCUCACCAAGGCGACGAUCAGUUAGCUGGUCNGAGAGGAUGAUCA
RNAcentral lists this ribosomal RNA (250 nucleotides) under uncultured bacterium. Its description in RNAcentral is "partial 16S ribosomal RNA". It matches the Rfam family "Bacterial small subunit ribosomal RNA", at positions 29 to 306 of the family's 1533-position model. The record is from RNAcentral.